AAGCCAGUGGCGUAGCCAGCUCGAUAAUUGGGGGGGGGGCAUAUUCAUAUAUUCGUGUUCUGCAUUAUUAGUUUCUUUUGAAAUUGAUUGUUUUUACGAUCUGUGAAUACGAAUAUAUGAAUAUGCCCCUUCCCCCACUUAUCGAGCUGGCUACGCCAGUGCCCUAAGCCUAUAGGUCUCGUUUUCCCACACAUUAUAUCCAGGCAUUACGCUAUGUUUGUAGUAAUAAGGCUUUUCAAAAAGCAUUUGAAAUUUUUAAUAACCGCAAA
Molecule: long non-coding RNA, 269 nt
Filed under: Paramuricea clavata
Lineage: Eukaryota; Metazoa; Cnidaria; Anthozoa; Malacalcyonacea; Plexauridae
Source: RNAcentral